RNAcentral lists this ribosomal RNA (301 nucleotides) under uncultured bacterium. Its description in RNAcentral is "partial 16S ribosomal RNA". It matches the Rfam family "Bacterial small subunit ribosomal RNA", at positions 509 to 809 of the family's 1533-position model. The record is from RNAcentral.
CAGCAGCCACGGUAAUACGGAGGGUGCAAGCGUUACUCGGAAUCACUGGGCGUAAAGCGCGCGCAGGUGGUUUAAUAAGUCUGAUGUGAAAGCCCACGGCUCAACCGUGGAGGGUCAUUGGAAACUGUUAAACUUGAGUGCAGGAGAGAAAAGUGGAAUUCCUAGUGUAGCGGUGAAAUGCGUAGAGAUUAGGAGGAACACCAGUGGCGAAGGCGGCUUUUUGGCCUGUAACAGACACUGAGGCGCGAAAGCGUGGGGAGCAAACAGGAUUAGAUACCCCUGUAGUCCCUGUCUCUUAUAA